RNAcentral lists this ribosomal RNA (301 nucleotides) under uncultured bacterium. RNAcentral describes it as "partial 16S ribosomal RNA". It matches the Rfam family "Bacterial small subunit ribosomal RNA", at positions 509 to 807 of the family's 1533-position model. The record is from RNAcentral.
CAGUAGCCGCGGUAAUACGAAGGGUGCAAGCGUUACUCGGAAUUACUGGGCGUAAAGCGUGCGUAGGUGGUGGUUUAAGUCCGUUGUGAAAGCCCUGGGCUCAACCUGGGAAUUGCAUUUGUGACUGUAUAGCUAGAGUACGGCAGAGGGGGAUGGAAUUCCGCGUGUAGCAGUGAAAUGCGUAGAUAUAGGAAGGAACACCAGUGGCGAAGGCGACCACCUGGACUGAUACUGACACUGAGGUGCGAAAGCGUGGGGAGCAAACAGGAUUAGAUACCCCAGUAGUCCCUGUCUCUUAUAC